UAAUCAGCUCUUUUUAGAGCUACCACUUUUUUAUAACGUAGAAAUA
Non-coding RNA from Trichomalopsis sarcophagae, 46 nucleotides. Lineage: Eukaryota; Metazoa; Arthropoda; Insecta; Hymenoptera; Pteromalidae. The record is from Rfam.